Molecule: ribosomal RNA, 434 nt
Filed under: uncultured bacterium
Lineage: Bacteria
Description: partial 16S ribosomal RNA
Rfam family: Bacterial small subunit ribosomal RNA
Source: RNAcentral
AGCGAACGCUGGCGGCAGGCCUAACACAUGCAAGUCGAACGAAACUUCCGGGGUUAGUGGCGGUCGGGGGAGGAACACGGGGGAAGGUGCCUGUAGGUACGGAAUACUUCAGGGUAACUUGUGCUAAUACAGAAUGUGCUAUUCGGGGAAAAGAUUAGUCGCCCUUAGGGCGGCCGGGGAUGGUUUAGCCAGUUGGGUGUGGAAAUGGCUCACCAAGGCUAGGAGAAGUAGCUGGUCUGAGAGGAUGAUCAGCCACAUCGGGAGUAAGACACGGCCCAAAAUCCUACGCAAGGGGGGAGAGGGGAAUCCUGCGAAAUGGGGGAAGGCCUGACGCAGCCAUGCCGGGUAAAUGAUGAUGGUCGUAGGAAAGUAAAAUUCUUUCACCGGGGGCGAUAAUGACGGUACCCGGAGAAGAAGCCCCGGCUAACUUCGUG